Long non-coding RNA from Micropterus salmoides (largemouth bass), 643 nucleotides. RefSeq lists it as uncharacterized. The transcript is spliced from 4 exons. Lineage: Eukaryota; Metazoa; Chordata; Actinopteri; Centrarchiformes; Centrarchidae. The record is from RefSeq and is a predicted model, not a curated record.
UAAAGGUUUGAAACCUGGUUUUAAAGAAUAAAAGUCUUCAGUGGGUGGUGGUCUUCAGUAAAAGUCCUCAGACAGAGUUUUGUUUAUCUUCAGUUUGUCAGAAAGGUCGGGCAGUCUCUGCAGCGUGGGAAGUGAGGAAGUUAUGAGCUGUGCUGACGGUCCUUCAGAGUCCAGACUGAGAUGGCACAGCGAGGGGAGAGACAUGUUAAACCUGCUCUGGACACAUGGUGAGACGUAGGUCAAGUCCUCCGUCCUCCGUCCUCCUUCCUGUGACCUGGAAAUCGAUCUGCCAUCAUGAAGGACAUCCCAGAUCCUAAAAUGCACCUCAAGGAUUGAGGAUCGAGGAGCAGCUGGAAAGUCCUCAGUCCUCCUCCUACCCAGACCACCGGCUGGCGGACUCCUCCUCAGCUCCUCAUGCCGCCUCAUCUCAGCACCAUGCGCACCUGAUGUUCCCCGCAGUCACUUCAGGGUUCUGGGAAAUGUAGUUCCUGCUCCGGACUUGGGAUCACCAGGACACACCUGGGGGACCUGAAGGCCUCAUGUCUCAGGACACCUGGUCGAAACAGGAAGUGAAAGACCUACGUGUGAGGAAGUCUCGGAUCUGUCUGAUGAGACUUCUCAGCUCCUCGUUGCUCUGGUCCAC